RNAcentral lists this transfer RNA (71 nucleotides) under Loxodonta africana (African savanna elephant). It matches the Rfam family "tRNA". Rfam says of the family: Transfer RNA (tRNA) molecules are approximately 80 nucleotides in length. Their secondary structure includes four short double-helical elements and three loops (D, anti-codon, and T loops). Further hydrogen bonds mediate the characteristic L-shaped molecular structure. tRNAs have two regions of fundamental functional importance: the anti-codon, which is responsible for specific mRNA codon recognition, and the 3' end, to which the tRNAs corresponding amino acid is attached (by aminoacyl-tRNA synthetases). tRNAs cope with the degeneracy of the genetic code in two manners: having more than one tRNA (with a specific anti-codon) for a particular amino acid; and 'wobble' base-pairing, i.e. permitting non-standard base-pairing at the 3rd anti-codon position. Lineage: Eukaryota; Metazoa; Chordata; Mammalia; Proboscidea; Elephantidae. The record is from Rfam by way of RNAcentral.
ACAUGAGUGGUUCAGCAGUAGAAUUCUUGCCUCCUAUGCAGGAGACCUGGGUUCAAUUCCUGGCCAGUGUA